UACGGAGGAUGCGAGCGUUAUCCGGAUUUAUUGGGUUUAAAGGGUGCGUAGGCGGGAUGCCAAGUCAGCGGUAAAAAUGCGGUGCUCAACGCCGUCGAGCCGUUGAAACUGGCGUUCUUGAGUGGGCGAGAAGUAUGCGGAAUGCGUGGUGUAGCGGUGAAAUGCAUAGAUAUCACGCAGAACACCGAUUGCGAAGGCGGCAUACCGGCGCCCUACUGACGCUGAGGCACGAAAGCGUGGGUAUCGAACAGG
Molecule: ribosomal RNA, 252 nt
Filed under: uncultured bacterium
Lineage: Bacteria
Description: partial 16S ribosomal RNA
Rfam family: Bacterial small subunit ribosomal RNA
Source: RNAcentral